GACGAACGCUGGCGGCGUGCUUAACACAUGCAAGUCGAACGAUGAAGCGGUGCUUGCACCGUGGCUUAGUGGCGAACGGGUGAGUAAUACGUGAGUGACCUACCUUUGACUCUGGGAUAAGCCUGGGAAACUGGGUCUAAUACCGGAUACGACCAAUCUCUGCAUGGGGUGUUGGUGGAAAGCGUUAUGGAGUGGUUUUAGAUGGGCUCACGGCCUAUCAGCUUGUUGGUGUGGUAAUGGCUUAUCAAGGCGACGACGGGUAGCCGGCCUGAGAGGGUGACCGGCCACACUGGGACUGGGACACGGCCCAGACUCCUACGGGAGGCAGCAGUGGGGAAUAUUGCACAAUGGGCGCAAGCCUGAUGCAGCGACGCCGCGUGAGGGAUGACGGCCUUCGGGUUGUAAACCUCUGUUAGCAUCGAAGAAGCGAAAGUGACGGUAGGUGCAGAGAAAGCGCCGGCUAACUACGUG
RNAcentral lists this ribosomal RNA (471 nucleotides) under uncultured bacterium. Its description in RNAcentral is "partial 16S ribosomal RNA". It matches the Rfam family "Bacterial small subunit ribosomal RNA", at positions 28 to 507 of the family's 1533-position model. The record is from RNAcentral.